This 292-nucleotide ribosomal RNA is filed under the name uncultured bacterium. RNAcentral describes it as "partial 16S ribosomal RNA". It matches the Rfam family "Bacterial small subunit ribosomal RNA", at positions 505 to 796 of the family's 1533-position model. The record is from RNAcentral.
GUUACAGCAGCCGCGGUAAUACGAAGGGUGCAAGCGUUAUCCGGAUUCACUGGGUUUAAAGGGUGCGUAGGUGGGCAGGUAAGUCAGUGGUGAAAUCUCCGGGCUUAACCCGGAAACUGCCAUUGAUACUAUCUGUCUUGAAUACCGUGGAGGUGAGCGGAAUAUGUCAUGUAGCGGUGAAAUGCUUAGAUAUGACGUAGAACACCAAUUGCGAAGGCAGCUCACUACGCGAAUAUUGACACUGAGGCACGAAAGCGUGGGGAUCAAACAGGAUUAGAUACCCCCGUAGUCC